Molecule: ribosomal RNA, 253 nt
Filed under: uncultured bacterium
Lineage: Bacteria
Description: partial 16S ribosomal RNA
Rfam family: Bacterial small subunit ribosomal RNA
Source: RNAcentral
UACGUAGGGUCCAAGCGUUAUCCGGAAUCACUGGGCGUAAAGCGUGCGUAGGUGGAUGCUUAAGUGAGAUGUUAAAUCGUGUGGCUCAACCAUAUCGAUGCAUCUCAUACUGGGCGUCUAGAGGACGGCAGAGGCAAGUGGAACUCGUAGUGUAGCAGUGAAAUGCGUAGAUAUUACGAAGAACACCAAUGGCGAAGGCAGCUUGCUGGGCCACUCCUGACACUGAGGUACGAAAGCGUGGGGAGCGAACAGG